RNAcentral lists this long non-coding RNA (550 nucleotides) under Homo sapiens (human). RNAcentral describes it as "HSALNT0177217". Lineage: Eukaryota; Metazoa; Chordata; Mammalia; Primates; Hominidae. The record is from RNAcentral.
UGCAGGAGACUGCAGUUUUAUUCUUACUCAAAUCAGACUCCCUGAGCAUUCUCAGGGAGCUGAGUUUUUAAGGAUAACUUGGUGGGUGGUGGGAAGCCAGUGAGCCAGCGGUGCUGAUUGGUCAAGGAUGAAAUCAGAGGGAAUCAAAGCUGUCAUCUUGCACUGAGUCAGUUCCUGGGUGGGGGCCACAAGAUCAGAUGAGCCAGUUGAUUGAUCUGGUGGUGCCAGCUGAUCCAUCAAGGGCAGGGUCUGCAAAUAUCUCAAGCGCUGACCUUAGGAGCAGUUUAGGGAGGGUCCGAAUCUUAUAGCCUCCAGCUGCAUAACUCCUAAACCAUAAUUUCUUUUUUGUUUGUUUGUUUGUUUUGUUUUUUUGAGACAGAGUUUUGCUCUUGUUGCCCCAGGCUGGAAUGCAAUGGCGUGAUCUCAGCUCACCACAACCUCCGCCUCCCGGGUUCAAGCGAUUCUCCUACCUCAGCCUCCCGAGUAGCUGGGAUUACAGGCAUGUGCUACCACACCCAGCUAAUUUUGCAUUUUUUAGUAGAGACGGUGU